Molecule: non-coding RNA, 4036 nt
Organism: Linepithema humile (Argentine ant)
Lineage: Eukaryota; Metazoa; Arthropoda; Insecta; Hymenoptera; Formicidae
Source: RefSeq, a predicted model, not a curated record
AAAAGAGUAUGAAUAAGAACCUCGGAAAGGAUAAGAGAAUUCUUAUUUGAGAAAGAUGUGUUCCGAAAAUGACACACAAGAGUAUUUUAAUGUUUUUAUUAUAAGUCUGAAAGCAGCUUUUUCAUUGAGUAUUCUAGCCAGGCUUCGUUCGAUGCUACAAUUUGAUUUCUCAAGAAUAUUUUCCGAGCGAUCGUUGACGAUGAUUUGCUGGAUAAUUUUUUUGGACGAAUUUUCGUGUCUUCGCGCUUUCUCUCUCUCUCUCUCUCUCUCUCUCUCUCUCUCUUUCUUUUUGUCUUUUGCGCAAUUGAUGCUUCAAAUAACGCGUAAAUUCGGGAAUAGUAGGAAGACUAAACGUUUGCUGCGCACGAAUCGACUACCUUCUACGAUUUUCGAUUUUGCAUGAUAACUGACCGCAAACGAUCGAGCGACGAUGCGAUUUCUACAAGAGAUGCGUCAUUCGAAAAUCAAUUCGGUUGUCUCUUCUUUUUUUUUUUGCAAUGUCGUUGCACAAUUUUCAUCCGAGAAUUGACGUCAGCACACACGAGACACGUCUAUUCACGUCAUCAGUCGUCAAUGAUCGUUCCAACUUAAAAUUAUCGGCGCAGAAAUUGCUCUCUCGCGAACUCUUACUUAAUCCACCCCCGCGCUCGUUCUCUCCCUAUCGGGCCCCACAAAACUUUACAAGAGUCUUGUCGCCGCGCAAAGAGUGCCGUGCUAUCGCAGAAAUCGAACCUCAAGGGAUCGCCGGUCAGCAGAGUAAUUUUUUUAUGAAAGAGAAGAAAAAUGGGAGACGAGAGAAGGAGAAAGGGGCGGAGAGGGAGAGAAAAAUAAAUUCGAUCACGUUCGAUUUCUUCGAUGUACUUUCCGCGGCACUGCGAAACCAGGGGGUACUUUUUCAUCGGAGAAGUGACUGAGGAGGACAAUAAUUUACAAGGCCAAGGACUUGUGUUACAAGUGCAACGAACUGCCCAUAUAGAAAAAUGGACGAAGUGUUAUAGCAAAAAUCUCUUUCUCCCCCUUCUAUCAAUAUAUAUACUACCUAUCACGGCUUCUUCGAUCGUCGUUGCGAACACUGUCGUCGUCGUCGUCGUCGUCGUCGUCGUCGUCGUCGUCGCCGUCGUCUCGUAUCGAAUUUCUCCAUAUUUAAGGCUCUCGAGAUUGCGCGCGACGAUUGUAACAUGCUACUUAGCGUGUCGCGGCUAUAUCGUACAUAUAAUAACACAAUGGUAAUACGCCUAAAUUAUACUGUUUCAAAGUUUAUUUUAAUUCACCAUCGCAUGAUGAAACGAACAUUUUAUGAUUUAAGUCGCCGCUUUCGUUAAUCCUGAUUAAAAUAUACAAAUUUACGCGGAAAAGUAGAUAGACAUCGCUGAUAAAUGGGCUCGCGAUUGAGAAAUUUGAUACGUUUCGUCCUGAUGAAGCUCUUUCGUUUGAAUCUGCAAUCUAAUCGUGACAAUAAUAUAGGAAAUAAUAUAAAUUCGUUUUCUCGAUUAUUGAUAGUCAAAGACAGUAAAGCUUUCGCAGCAACUUCCGAAUUUGUACGUGCCGUGUUGUUAACUCGUUGUGACGAGUCGUGAAAAUUGACUUGCUUCUUGAAACUUUGUUUCGAGCUAGUAAGCAUACAUAAGGUCAGGGACGACGACUCGUGUUACGACAUUGUCGUUCGAAUGGCGAUUGUUCAUAUUAUUGCGAAGUAGCUGAUAUAAAAAAUCGUAAUAUCGUAUCUAUUGCGUUUAUAUUCUCUUGACUUUACGUCCAAUGACGAUCUGCCCAGUGAAGGUUGCACAAUAUGAAUCACGAGAUGCUAGAAGAAUAGAAUUAUUUUUAAAUAUCUUUAGAUAUCGUUAAGUAUAUUUAUAUAUUUUACUUUAGGUACUAUAUUCUUUUUUGUAUUUCUAUCACGAUCAAAUUAUUGUGAAUGAAAAGAACGAGCUCAGAAUUUCCGCGAGGGUUUCCACGAUAAGCGAAAAUUAUUACGGCGUAGCGCAGUGACAGUGAAAUUAAGACGAUUUGGUCGAACGGGGCAGAUCGUGAACGGAGAGAAACUUUUCAUUGUACAACCGUAUGCGCUCAUUGUUAUGUACAUGCUCAUUUUUGCUCCUUCCUCGCGAUUUUUUUCUUUGUUUUUUUUUUACAAAACUGUGCACAAUAUUUAACGAGCAAAGACCCUUCGUCCAAUUUCAUAUCUUUCUUGAGAUAUAUAGAUUGCUUAUACUGUAUAUACUUAUUUAUCGAAAGCUGCGAUAUCACAUAUGGCCUCAUGAAGAGUUUAACAAGUGGUUUAUAGUUAGCCUUGAAGAGCACAACUUGAAGUUCCCACUUCGAAUUUAAGUGUCAGUAGCUUUGUCGAUGUUGCGACUUGACAAUGUCCGCUUCGAUAUUUCGAAAGCAAUCGUAUCACAUGUACUUUAUUUCCUCAAUUAAGAAUCUUUAUUUCCUGAAUUAAUUAUCUGCAUUUAAUCGCCAAAUGGUUCCGUUUUCGUCUUAUUUAUGUUAUAGAUUUGUUUGUGGUCUUCAUGGUUAACAGGAAUCAUCAUCUUCUCUGAUCUCGAAGGUGAUAUUGCUUCGUUAAAUUCUGGCACGCGUUAAUAUCACUGAUUAUUUAGCAAACUUUCAUUCGUAAUCGAAGUUUCACACGCGUUUUCUCCCUUCUCGCGCCGCCGCAUCUUCUUAUCGUUGUUCCUGUGUGAAUUAUCUGCUACUUGCAGUUCGUUGGAUCGCGAACAUAUGAUGUUGCCGUAUCUCGCACUGAUAGCAGUUGCGGAAUAUUCCGGAUAAUAUUCCGGUGUUGCGAUCGGCGAGCAGCCGAAUUUUUACUAAGCGAUGAGGCGCGAAAUUGCCAUGUCGGGAUCGUAUCGCGUGUGUUUCCGUGCUGUGGAAAUUUUCCGCUCUUUUCCGCCGUGAUAAGAAAAGGCAGUAACUAAUUGACAAACUGGAUCCUCAUUUUUAUCAGAUUUUUCCACCGCAGUAUAACACAGUUUGCAAGUACAGCUGUUGCCCGUUUUUUUCUGCAUUCCUUCAGAGUUAACGACAUGGAUUGGGAAAUCAACAUUGCAAAGUUUAUCUUAUCGCUAAAUUUUUUUACAAAGAACUACAAACGUUUUACAAAAAAUCGAGUUUGGCAAGAAAAAAUUUUACCGCCUAUUUCAUUAUCACGGCAUUUAGCCAUCAUUAAUUUAGGCUGUUUUUUUAACUGUUACGAUAAACUUGUCUUUCUGAAUAUUAAAUUUUAAUUUAAACAUCUCGCAAAUUCUGAUUUUAAACAAAGCAAUAGUAUUGCAAUUUUAUAUUACAUAGAGUUUCUCUUCUGGUUAUUUAGUUUGUUCGAUAUGGUCGAAUUAGAUUCGAUUAUAUAAAUUUUGUCAAUAUGUUGAAAGAUAUUAUUGAAACGCCACGGAUGACGAUCCCGAUCAUAUUGUGAACUGCGUUCGCACAAACGUUGCAUUCUCAUUUUCGACAAAAUUGCAUUGAAAUUACAGAAAUCGAGCACUUUAGCCUAUAACGGCCCGCGCGAUAUGAUUAGUGCAUGAAAAAUCUCAGCGUUUCAACAUGAUCGACGCGCGAUAGACGUGCGGCUUAGUCGCUACAGUUUCAACAGUGUUAAACCUUUUCUUUGCGUAUAAGUAUAUAAACUACGAUAGAGCCAGCUAUAUCGUUUCUGUCUCUAAAAUCUAUUUAACAAAGUCCUCGUAACUGCUCAAUAAUUCAUCUUUCAUAACAUGAAAUUAUAUAUCUCUAUUUACUCUUUGUCUCUUAUUAUAUAUAUUUAUAUAUGUACACGCGCAUAUGUGUAUGUAACGUGUGUGUAUGUACGUAUGUACGUUUGCAUCUAUACUUUCGAUUUGAUCAAAUGAUUUCGGUGAUGAGAAUCGCGCUUUUGCUCAUUAUGUGGUCAUUGAAACUAAAAAUUAAUCUCUUAUUACUAUAUAAUUAUUAUCCAGAUAGUCAACAUUGCUAACAUUUUUCUUACUGGGUAUGUAAGAAUUUUCUACUGUUGUACUAUUGUAAAAAAUUAAAUAAAUAAAUUUAAUUUUGA